UAAACCUGAGUGUAGGAACGGAGGCCUGUGCGUCGCCCCGGGGGCGUGUGAGUGCCUUAAAGGCUACCACGGGGUGACGUGUGAGACAGCUCUGUGCAGUCUGCCCUGUGAGCACGGAGGAAUGUGCGUGGGACCCAGCACCUGCUCCUGUCCCUACGGCUUUGUGGGUCCCAGAUGUGAGACUAUGGUGUGUAACCGCCUCUGUCACAGCGGAGGAGAGUGUGUGUCUCCUGAUGAGUGUGCCUGUCUGUCUGCCUG
Molecule: long non-coding RNA, 258 nt
Organism: Salvelinus sp. IW2-2015
Lineage: Eukaryota; Metazoa; Chordata; Actinopteri; Salmoniformes; Salmonidae
Source: RefSeq, a predicted model, not a curated record